Molecule: ribosomal RNA, 253 nt
Filed under: uncultured bacterium
Lineage: Bacteria
Description: partial 16S ribosomal RNA
Rfam family: Bacterial small subunit ribosomal RNA
Source: RNAcentral
UACAGAGGGUGCAAGCGUUGUUCGGAAUUAUUGGGCGUAAAGAGCUUGUAGGCGGUUUGUCGCGUCUGCUGUGAAAUUUCGGGGCUCAACCCCGAACUUGCAGUGGGUACGGGCAGACUAGAGUGUGGUAGGGGAGACUGGAAUUCCUGGUGUAGCGGUGAAAUGCGCAGAUAUCAGGAGGAACACCGAUGGCGAAGGCAGGUCUCUGGGCCACUACUGACGCUGAGAAGCGAAAGCGUGGGGAGCGAACAGG